RNAcentral lists this ribosomal RNA (374 nucleotides) under uncultured bacterium. RNAcentral describes it as "bacterial SSU rRNA". It matches the Rfam family "Bacterial small subunit ribosomal RNA", at positions 524 to 898 of the family's 1533-position model. The record is from RNAcentral.
GACGAACUGCCCAAACGUUGUUCGGAAUCACUGGGCUUAAAGGGCGCGUAGGCGGCAGAUCAAGUCAGGGGUGAAAUCCGGCAGCUCAACUGUCGAAGUGCCUUUGAUACUGAUUUGCUCGAGGGAGAUAGGGGUCUGUGGAACUUCUGGUGGAGCGGUGAAAUGCGUUGAUAUCAGAAGGAACGCCGGUGGCGAAAGCGACGGACUGGAUCUCUUCUGACGCUGAGGCGCGAAAGCUAGGGGAGCAAACGGGAUUAGAUACCCCGGUAGUCCUAGCCCUAAACGAUGGGUACUAGAUAGUAGACUAACAUGGGUUUACUGUCGAAGCAAAAGUUUUAAGUACCCCGCCUGGGGAGUAUGGUCGCAAGGCUGAA